UAGGGAAUCUUCCACAAUGGACGAAAGUCUGAUGGAGCAAUGCCGCGUGAGUGAAGAAGGGUUUCGGCUCGUAAAACUCUGUUGUUAAAGAAGAACAUAUCUGAGAGUAACUGUUCAGGUAUUGACGGUAUUUAACCAGAAAGCCACGGCUAACUACGUGUCAG
RNAcentral lists this ribosomal RNA (164 nucleotides) under uncultured bacterium. Its description in RNAcentral is "partial 16S rRNA". It matches the Rfam family "Bacterial small subunit ribosomal RNA", at positions 355 to 511 of the family's 1533-position model. The record is from RNAcentral.